RNAcentral lists this ribosomal RNA (467 nucleotides) under uncultured bacterium. Its description in RNAcentral is "partial 16S ribosomal RNA". It matches the Rfam family "Bacterial small subunit ribosomal RNA", at positions 28 to 506 of the family's 1533-position model. The record is from RNAcentral.
GACGAACGCUGGCGGCGUGCUUAACACAUGCAAGUCGAACGGAAAUGCUCUGCUUUUGUGUGGUGCUCGAGUGGCGAACGGGUGAGUAACACGUGAGUAACCUGCCCUUUACUUUGGGAUAACUUCAGGAAACUGGGGCUAAUACCGGAUAGGAGCUCCUGCUGCAUGGUGGGGGUUGGAAAGUUUCGGCGGUUGGGGAUGGACUCGCGGAUUAUCAGCUUGUUGGUGGGGUAGUGGCUUACCAAGGCUUUGACGGGUAGCCGGCCUGAGAGGGUGACCGGCCACAAUGGGAAUGAGAUACGGCACAGACUACUACGGGAGGCAGCAGUGGGGAAUAUUGCACAAUGGGCGGAAGCCUGAUGAAGCAACGCCGCGUGCGGGAUGACGGCCUUCGGGUUGUAAAACGCUUUCGCCUGUGACGAAGCGUGAGUGAGGGUAAUAGGUAAAGAAGCACCGGCUAACUACGG